ACCAGUCAUGCCCCCACCUAUGCAGUUCAGGCCACCACCAAAUAUGCCGCCGCCGCCGCCUCCUCAAGUAGCUUCAGCUAUGCAAAGACCCCCUCCACAACCAAUGGGAAUGGGUGCACCACCUCCAGUUUGGCGGCAGCCGCCACCACCUCCACAGCAAUUGCUUGGAAGACCCCCAAUGCCACAUAUGUCAAUGCCACCACCUCCGCCGCCCCAGGCCCCUCCGCCACCCCCAUCAGGUUGAAGACCUAAAAGCUUUUUGUAACUCGGUGAUAUUUUGACUAAAAUUUGUUGAUUG
This 298-nucleotide long non-coding RNA is filed under the name Citrus maxima (pomelo). RNAcentral describes it as "long non-coding RNA (CMAX_LNC000034)". The record is from RNAcentral. Lineage: Eukaryota; Viridiplantae; Streptophyta; Magnoliopsida; Sapindales; Rutaceae.